RNAcentral lists this long non-coding RNA (11326 nucleotides) under Phaseolus vulgaris (common bean). RNAcentral's name for it is "long non-coding RNA (PVUL_LNC004796)". Lineage: Eukaryota; Viridiplantae; Streptophyta; Magnoliopsida; Fabales; Fabaceae. The record is from RNAcentral.
ACUCUUUUACCAAUGCUGGAGAUUCCCAUUCCCAUCUUGUUCCUAGAACAACACAAUUGGGACUUGUGAACAGUGAGCAAAAUGUACAGAACCAAGGCUUGUCUCUUAGCCUUGGCUCAGUGAUGCCUUCUAUUGCAUCAGUCCCUACCUUUCCAUAUCAGUAUCCUGGUGCCGGUUUCUCUUCACUAAUGACUGCUUCUGUCCCAAAUUUAAGGGGCCCUUCAUCUCUUAAAGAUGAUGAAGCCAGCCUGCAAAGGGAAUUGAGAAAUGCUGAGUGCAUGGCAUCUUUAGCUUCUUGUGGCUUUCACAAAAGGGAAGGUUUGUUGUAUACUCCACAACACCCCUCAAUGUGCCUCAGUGAAGGCCAAAGCGAUGGAUCACUGGGAUUUUCCAGCAAUGUUUUGAACUCACAAUACCUCAAGGCAGCACAGGAGCUGCUUGAUGAAAUAGUUAAUGUUCGAAAGGCUUUGAAGCAAACUGGUUUAGAGAAGCAACAGAGUUUCCGUGAUAUUGGUUUAGAUGGCUCUAAAGAUUCUGAUGGAAAAUCUACCAGCCAAUCAGGGCAGAUAUCUUCAUGUCCCAAUAGUUCUGCUGCAAACACUUCAUGUGAGCUCUCACCUGCAGAACGACAAAAUUUGUUGGACAAAAAGACAAAACUUUUAUCCAUGUUGGAUGAGGUAGGCCUCUAGACUUUGUAGCAUUGAAUUCCAGCUCUUCCUUCUUUUCUAUUUUUUUUAUAGCCUUGGUCUGUCCCCAGUUAUUCUGUAUUUCAUAUAGUUGGUUAUAAUGUAUUGUUACAUACAAAAAUAUUUAAUGUAUGUGUACUAGUUUAUUUUCAAGUACAAAACAUUUUAUUUGGCAUUAUUUUUAAGAGAACGUUUGAAGGAAAGAGUAUUGGUUUCCAGAAAAUAAUCAUUUCAAAACAUGCUCCAAAUAAACAUUUUGCCACAGCUUAAGCUUUUGUGUAAAGUUAUUUACUCAACAACCUGUACAACUUUCAAAUUUUGUGUGUUAUUUUUUUUCCUGGAAAAGUGUAUGUGUUGAAAGUGCUAUAUAUAGAUUUAUAACACUUAUUAGUAAUAAAUAACAGUGAAUUGGCCACAGAAUAAAAGAGUAAACGACUUUCUCUGUGGUUGAUUUUUAGUUAUGCAAUUUAGUUGGUUUUAUACAUAUGCUACAUUAGUGAUUGAUUGAAUUGUGUAUACUUAGAUACCAAAAACACAAGUAGUGCUAGUGAUUAGAACGACUGAGAGUGUUAACUUGUGACUUAGCUCUUAUUUUUUUCUUGGCUCUGGCAGGUUGAUAAAAGGUACAGACAGUACUGCCACCAGAUGCAGAUAGUGGUUUCAUCUUUUGAUAUGGUUGCUGGUGUUGGAGCAGCUGAACCAUACACCGCACUUGCGUUGCGCACAAUAUCGCGCCACUUCCGGUGUUUGCGCGAUGCCAUUAGUGGCCAAAUUCAAGUGACUCAAAGGAGCCUUGGAGAACAAGAAGGAAUACCUCGUCUCCGCUAUGUUGAUCAGCAGCUUCGGCAGCAAAAGGCCCUUCAGCAACUUGGUGUAAUGCGACAAGCUUGGAGGCCUCAGAGGGGACUUCCUGAAACCUCUGUUUCAAUACUUCGAGCAUGGCUCUUUGAGCAUUUCCUUCAUCCGUAUGUCCCUCUAAUCUGUACAUAAUUUAUUUCAUGUUCUCCUAAAUAGUAUUUGUCUAAUAAUUGUUUUCCUAUUUUCAUUUGGUUCCAGUUAUCCAAAGGAUUCAGAGAAAAUUAUGCUGGCUAGGCAAACUGGCUUAACAAGAAACCAGGUACGAUAGUUAAUGCUUUGUAAGUUGUAGAAGAUUGUACAAGUGAAUGUUUGGGAACGAUUACUUGUGUGGAAUAAUCACUUUUAACAAAUCAAAGCUGAUACUAAAGAGUAAACAGUGUUUACGCUAACAAUUUAAUAUUUAACUACAAAUUGACAUGAUGCAUAUAAGUUUGUUAAUAUUUAUAAUAAUUAUCUUAAAAGCAAUACCACUAUGAUUCUUGAAUUCUGAUUAGUUGACAUUUUAAAAUCUCUUACACCGACAGUGCAUGGAUAUUAAACUUGAGAAGUAGUUGAUUUUCGAAAAUAAGCUAAAUCAAACACAUCAAAUUUGGUUUUGAUGGGUAUGCAACAGUAAAAUCAGUAGCCCCUUAAAGUUUUAGUCUUAUUGUGUUUGGUAAUCUUUAUUUCAUUCAUGUUAGGUGGCAAAUUGGUUCAUUAAUGCAAGGGUGCGUCUUUGGAAGCCAAUGGUUGAAGAAAUGUACAAAGAAGAAUUUGGUGAUUCUGAGAUUAGCAGCAAUCUAUUACCAUCAGAGAACACACUGAAAGCUCCAAGAGAUGAUGUUCAAUCUUCUGACAGCAAAAGGGAAGAGUCCCAGGAUAACAUAAUAACAGUUGAUGAUAGUGUUAUUCAGCAUCAUGGGUUGAAGUUGGAUCAUGCCUCAGAGUUGGACAGAGGGAUCCAAAGUAGUGAUCAUGGAGAAAAUGCCAUGGAUCCUAGAAUUGGGAAACUGCAGGGUGACCAAAGGUUCAACAUUAAUAACAGCAACAGUCCUUAUUAUGGGGAAGGCUGCAUAAUUGCUCCUACUCCUGCUACAUAUGAUUUAUCAGAGUUAGGUAACAUUGGUGUGGGUGGACAGGUGUCACUAGCAUUGGAAUUGAGGAAUUAUGAAAGUGAAGGAUUUGGCGUGUCCAAUGAUGAGAUGCAUAGAAGAUGCAAGAAAACAUUGGCUUCUUCCCCAGAGGCUGAUUUGCUAGAUUACCAUUUCACAGACCAAGGAAAGCAACAAAACAAGUUUGGCAAUCCUCACCUAUUACACGAAUUUGUUGUGUGAUGAAGGGUGAAGGGAACAAUGGUAAUGUGUACCACCAAAAUAGUUAGAAAGACCAAAAAGCCUAUGUUGUUAUUUUACUUGGUUGCUCAUUCUUGUCCACAGUUCAUGAAAGUCAUGUAAAUCAUGAACCGUACAAAAAUAUACACGUAGGUAUGUGUAGAUAUUCUCUUGUAAUAUGGUGGUGGAGGGAUGAUUGGUUGUAUCGAAUGCAGGCAAUUUUGUAAGGACAAGGAACGUAUCUUGUGCAUCAUGCGUGAUGAAUAAGGAAUCUUGUGAAGAGCAUAAAAGGGUACCCAUCUGAAUGCAUUGACUCUUGUGCUCUCACGUUAUUGAAGUUUGUGUCUUUCAUGAAUGAUUCAUAAACCAUAAGUUACUUCGUGUACAAGGAGUACAAGCAUAUUGAUUACUUUUGUUAAUACUAUUUGCCUUUGGGUUUAUUGGUGUUGAAUUGAAUGCAAGUUCUACAUUUUCCAAUGCAUAAACGUAGAAGCUAUGUCUAAACACUCUUAUACUAUGUAGUUGUUUUAGAUUUUGAUAAAAAAUCUUGGACCUAAAUUGAUUAUGGAUGCUAAAUGUUUUCAUACAUCAGGAGAAGAAAACAAUAAAAAAUGAACAGAAUUUUAUAUAAACUGUUUCCACAAACUAAAAUUAAGUAUACAUAAAUUGAAAAUCUUUUAGAGAAAUUUAUGUGAAAGAGCUUUUAAUCUUCUCAUGAAAAUAUUAUUAAAGAAGCCAUUCAAACAUACAACAGGUAUUAAAGCUGCGUGUGGUUAUUUAUUAUAUCUGUUGGGAAACUCAGUUUCAUGGGUUAUGAGAUAUAACACAAGAAAAUUCUAUUUUUGGGUGGAGCAAAUUUUCCAUUAGACUCUCUCCUAAUGGAAAAUCAAAUACACAUUAAACCAGUUAAUUUAAGAUCUGAAAUUGAAUUGAACUUUGAGCCAAUACAAUCCCAGAAAGAUUGGUUGAAGAAUCAAUGUUUUCACAUUUCAAGUUCUUCAAUGAUGGGCUGCAAUGAUAGUUGAAAACAAUAUGCAUUUUAAGCAUGGUUCAAUCAGUGUGUGAUUGGGUUCAUUGAAAGCAAGUGGCAUUAAUAAAAAAACAAAAUAAAAGGUUGUUUGAUUAAAGUAAAAAGAACAUUUCUAUUCUGCAUUCUAUCCAUUAUUAUUCAUGAAGUUUCACAGUCACAGAUUGACAAUCCUAGAAGGAGGAGUGUGCAGAAGGAAGCCAACUUUUUCUCUGCUUUAUGCAUGGCACAGAGAUCAAAUGAGCACAGCAAAGCAAGCACAGAUUUUCUCUGUUGCAGUCUACUUUUUUUCAGGCUUGAAAAGCUGGAAGGUUGAAGCUUUCGCUUGUUGGUAUAUGGUCAGGGGAAGUUUGGGACCACCAUGUUGUGUUUUCUGUCAUAUUCUACGUAGCCAUUUUACUUGGCUUCCAAGAUAGGGCAGAAGAGAGAACACUGCCUCAGAGUCAUAGGUCUGAGAUGUAGCUGAGACAGAUAGGCUCCUAUUGCUAUCUUAGAAUUAUUUAUGGCAUGUCAGCAUCUACUCAAUUACUGCCAAAAAAGUUAAGCCUACAAAACUUCCCUAUUAGCCUAACUUGUGAACAAAAAUAAUUCACCAAUCAACAAUUACAAAGGGUUAGUGUUUGACACCACAAUCAUGAAUGUUGUGUUAGCCAAUGGUUUUAUAUGUAAUUGCAUUUUUUUAACAUUUGCUCAUCUGACAUAGUCACUGGUGUCAGGGUCCUGCAGUUUGCAGCUAUGUUGGCAUUCAUUUGUUUUCUUAUGAAAGAAAAUUUGGCUUUAUUCGUGUAGUAAACUUUCCCACUUCAUCAGAACACUGUUUAUUAGAUGGUUUGAACCAUUCUUGCAUUCUUAAAUUUCAAUUACUUUGUUGAAUUUAUCUUCAUUCAAAGACAUUUCAGCUUGUACUUUUGAACAUCUUUAACAGUUUAUAUGUGCAGACAGAGAAGUACUCAUAUGUUAUGAAGCUAUUUAUUCAACAAAACAAAGGUCCCUUAGUUAAAGCAAUAUGCUUUCUUUGCCCCAAAGCAAACUCUUCAUAAUCAAGUACAAAAUGUUGAUUGUGUAUGGUUUAUAUGUGAAAAUAUAUAAAACUGACUUAUAUAUAAGAUGAGUUUUACAAACUUUAUAGAAUGAAGAACAAAAUGUUGACGAUAGGUCUUAAAACGAGUCUAAUAUGAAACAAUUCUUAAGUUCAACAUAACUUUAUAAGAUUGAUUUAAAUAAAAAUUAUUGUUACUGUGAAAUAUUAUUAUUUUUGGUCGAUAUCGGAUUUUUAACAUGUUAAUUAAAUAAUUAUUAUGCUUAGAGUAAUUAUGUUUGUAGAUAAAAUUUAUGGGUUAAAUUAAUAUUUAAUGAGAAUGGGGAUUUAAAUUUUUAAAUAAGAUGAAAUUAAUAAAAUAUGAUAAAGUAUAUAGCAAGUUGCCGAAAAUUGGGGGCUCCUAGGUAUAGAUAUAAUUAUUAUGCUUUUAGUAUUAAUAUGUAACUUUUGAAAGAAUGAGUGUCAAUUUUCAAAGAUGUUGCAAAUGUAAAUGGUGAGCGUUGAAGUUUUACUUGGACUAUUAUACACGGUUUGUGAAAAAGUGUCACUUAUGUACCUAAUGCAAAUAUAAGUAUAAUAUAAUAGUUUAAAAAUAUAUUAAUUAAUUACAAAAUACUCAAAUAUAUAAUAAGUAUUUAAACAAUAUUCAUUUUCUAUGCUUAUUUGGGAUGACUACCUAAAUCUGAAAUAUUAUAUAUCUUUGUAUUAAAUAGUUAAAAGAAUGUGUUAGCAAUAGAAUCACGAGUUCAACAAAGUUUUGAACUUCUGCUUAAAUAUUUUCAAAGAAUUGAUAUGGAUAUACCCUUUGACGAGAACAUCUACUAGUUGAAAAAAAAAUCAAAAUAUUUUUUCUGUAAAAAUCUAAGUAAAUCUUUUUGGAGAAGCAAUUUCUUGAAGGAACUAUGUCAUUCAUUCGAGUAUAUCCUAACGAAUUUUUGUUGGAUUUAUCAAGUCACUUAUUAUCGGAUUAUCCAUAAUAUGUUAUCUCUUGUCACUCUUGGUGUAAGAGUGUGUUGGAGAUCCCACAUCGACUAGAUGAGAACAAUUAGGACAAUUCAUUGUAUAUAAGUGGGUGUAAACCUCACCUCACGAGUCCCAACCAACAAACAAAAUAAACAAGAAUAAUUAAAAAUAUAAAAGUGUAACUUUAAAAAAAAAUUGCUAAUUUCUUAACCAACUUAAAAAAAAAAAACUCAAUAGAUGUUCUUCACAACAGCUAUUAAUUAUCAAAGUUGUUAACCAAUCAACUUUGCUUAAAGAUGGAGGCAUGUCCAUUCAACACACAUAGAUGGAGAGAGUUUCCUUCAGAUAAUUGUUUAAUUUUUUAAUUUUAUGGAAUGAGAAAAACAUAGAAAACGACAGAAGAAAGAAAUAUAUAUAAAGAGACAAAAGAUCUUAAUAAAGAAAAAGAUAAAAUAAUUUUGUUAGUAUAUGACCUAACUAUAAAUAGAAAAAAAUUGAAAGAAAGAAAAUGAAAGUUCUAAUAAAAAAUACAUAUGAGAUUUGUGGUCGUGAAAAAGGUCAUCAAUUCUAGAUUAAAUAUGUUCAAUUAUUAAAAAAAUAAUUUAAAUGGAUAGAAAAAUGGUUUUCGGGGCAAUUAUUAAAGAAAUGGUCAUUAAAAAUAUUGUGACACUAAAUCCUUAAUAUGUCAACGAGAGAUUAAAAAAAAUAUUUGAAAAUUAAAAAAAUAAUUAAACCCACUAUUUAUAAUUUAACAAACGACAUGACCACUAAAAAAGUAAUUAAACUCAAUCUACAGUAAACAUCAGUUAAAAGUGUAGGGAAUAAAAUACACAUACAUUUACAAUUAGAGAAUAUAUAAUAUAAAUUUGUAAAAUUAAACAUAAAAUUAUUUUGUAAUAUUAUUCAUCUUAGUUAUAACUUAAUCACUCCAUAAUAAAUUAAUAUAAACAAAUUAUUAAAUAACUAUUUGAUUAAUUAGAUUUUAUUUUAUAUAAAAAAAUAUUAAUAUUUAAAAUAAUUUAUAUUGUUAAUAAAAAAUUAUAAAAUAGUUUUUAUAUUGGUAAAAACUUUUAGCUUAUAAAUUAAUUAUUAAUUUAUAACUAAAAAUUAAUUUAAAAUUUAGAGUAAUUAAUAAUUAAAAUAUUAUUAAUUAAUGCUAAAUAUUAACUUAUAAACUAUUUUAUAUAUUCAAUUAUUAUUGGGAAGGUUUACCUAUGUAGUACAACUACUAUACACUGAUACUGAUACGGACAUCAAAUAUGACAGAGACAUUAACAAUAUGUGUAAUCUCUAAAAUAUGUGAGAUAUAAGAACAUAUAUCUAUAUAUUACAUUAUAAUAAUCAAUUGUUAAAAAAUAUAUUUAAUUAUCAUUGGGAAGGUUUACCUAUGUAGUACAACUACUAUAUACUAAUAUUGACACGAACAUCAAGUAUGACAAAGACAUUAACACUUCGAUAUGUGUAAUUUCUAAAAUAUGAGAUAUAGGGACAUAUAUCUAUAUAUUACAUUAUUAUAAAUUAUAUAAAUUAACAAUCAAGAUUUAUGUAUUCAAAAUCAUCUAUAAAUAAUUUUAGUCAAAUAUAAUUCAUUUGUAACAUCUCAUCCAUUUUUUAUCAUCAUUGAAAAAAGACACUAUAGUUUUAGUUGAAGUCCAUUUAAAAAAAAAUUAACUUUAAAAAAACUCACAUUAUAUAAAGAUAUAAUAAGAGAUUAAAUAAAAAAAAUUCUAUUAAUGCAUAUAUAAUAUAAAUAUUCUUAUUAUAUAUAAGAUUAGUUUCUUAUUUCUAUAAUCAUAAUAAAAACUUAUAUAAAAGUUUAUAAAUUUUAAGAAAAUCAAUUUGUUUUUUUUUUUAAAUUAGGUCAGAGUCGUGUUAGAAUUGUGAGAAACUUAAGAAAAUGUCUUUUAAAUUGGACACUUCAUCGAUAUGUGUUGCAUGUGUCAACAUUCGAUACAUGUUUGAUACAAAAACACACAAUUUAAAAGACAUGUCCAAGCUUCAUAAGAGUUUGCCUAUAUCCAAAUAUAAAGUAGUUAGCUAUACCCUCCAAAGAAGAGGGCAACCCUAUGUAAAGAAAAGAAAAAGUCCUUUGUCCAAUAUAUGUAUAUGAUUGUUGACUCCAUGGAUAUGAAAAGUUGACACAAUGUCCAAUUGAAAAAGCCAUGGUCAUGGUGAAACAACAAAUCCUCUUUUGCCAUCUUCCAUUAGUAUGUAUCUUAUGCUUGCUAGGUGUAUGCAUGGUGAAAGAAAGUGUUUGUUUUGGAUCCAGCUAGCUAGAUAAUCAUAUACUAAUUAAUAACUUUGGCACUAACAAAAGUGGUUUAUAAUAAUACCACUCAACCUAAUAUAAUUAAUUAACAAUAGUUAGACAUUAAUAAGAGAUGAAACAUACACGUCCAAGCCUGAUUUGGUGACUUUGACCUACUUAUUAUUCUACUAUCAUACCCAAUCCACCAAACCCUAAUUUUCAUUUUUCAUUCAUCAUACAACUAAUCUUCUUCUUCUUCUUCUUCCUCUUCUUCUCUCUCUCUCUUUGUUUCUGUUCAUCCUAACUCAACAACAACAACAAUGCAUGAUGAUUUGUGAGUUAAGUUAUGUGAAGGAGGCUUAAGAGGGAAAAGGGUUUCAACAACAACAACAUAUGCAUUAUAUUGCAUUACAUUUCAGCUCCACCAACUGGUUGUUAGGGUUUGAACACUUCCAAGCAAUAUAAUCAACCAGUCAACCACCCUCUCAAAUCUUCUAUUCCAUGCUUCAAUUUCAUUCUUCUAUUUACACCAUUUAAUGCACACCUUCCUAUUUUAUAUAUAUAUAUAUAUAUAUAUAUAUAUAUAUAUAUAUUUACACCCUUCUAUUCUACUACUACAAUUUUUCUAACAUUUUCCUUUACCACACGUGGUAAUAAUAAAAGAUUUCCCCUCUCAAUAAUUUACUAAUUCUUCAUUACACCUUCUCCAAUACUACAUUUUCUUUUACUUAUAUGAAUAAAGAAAAAGUAUUUUUUAAAAGGGUUUGAAGAGUUUUUGUUGUGGAUUAAUUUGGUAAACAUAUAAAAGAAUGCUGUGAACAUAUAUUUCUUGUGCCUUUUCAAAGAAGGGUAUCUUGAAAAAUCAUGAGGAUGAAUUGUUCUUUGAAAACCAUAAGAUUUUUUUUUGAAAAAAUUGAAAUUAGUCAUCAUAUACAAAUGCCAAAAAAUGAGUUUUACAGAAGUUUUGAACUUUUAGAAGAACUAAUGUGUAAAGUGAAAGACUAAAAUUUUGGUAACACAUUUUUUUAAUGGAAUUAGUUCAUUAUAAGUAUUUUAGUCAGAUAAAAUACACUCAUGUAGCCACAGUGUGUUAAAGAACAAAGGCUUUUGGGUUUAAUAUAUUUAUUACUUUUAUUUCUUUUUUUUUUCUUACAUGAUUUUGGAGACAUCACUGCAAAAAAGGCAUGCUAAAUUUUAUUAUUAUUAUUAUUAUGAGAAUUGGUAUAAUAUUUUUGUCUAAAGUUCUGUACAUGAUGUAAAACGACAAGCAAAAUGUGUUGGGGACAUUGGUUUUCAACAGAGCAUGCAGAAAAUUUAAUUAAUAGAAAAAAAUUAUGUAUAUAAGACUUAGACGUGUAGAAGUAAGAAACCUUUGUUUGAUUAUUUUAUUUUUGUUUCAUUAAAAAUGGUUUUGUUAUUCAUUGGUUGGUGCAGCUGGUUGUUCCAAAGAUAAUUUGAAAUUUAUAUGUCUUGGGAUUGCCAUUUGUCUGGGCUUCCCCAAACUGUGGAUUCUUGUCUGUAAUUUUUCUCUGAACCUCUCUUCUCUCUUACCCUUCUCUUUCUCCUUCAGGUAUUUCUCUUUUCUUCUUCUUUCUUUCUCUCUCUUUUCUCCACAACACUGCACAACCACCAUAAUAGUUCAAAGCACAAACUUCAUAUCACUAUGAUGAUGCUCUUUUACUGUUUCUGGUCCAUGAUGGUAGAUGCUACUUCUCCUGCUCAUAAACUCUUGUUCUAACAAAAGGGGUGGUGGGGUUUUCACUUUUCAUGAUUGAAAGUAUAAAUUAGUGUGUAAAAGCUACUGUGGAGUGCAAAAAAGUUUAAAUUAUGCUUCAAAGGUUUGGUUUUUCACUCAUUAUUGUCUUCUGUUCUUGAUUGACCGUUGCAGUGCUUACACUUUUUCUCUUGUAGCUCUCUUCUUUUCACUCUUCAUUUACACUUUUUUUUUGUGGUCUGAACUUGACCUUGCUUCUUUGGUUUUCACUUUCAAGUUUCAACCACCACCACCAUAGGGUUUGAACUUUGAAGCCAAUUAUGCCUAUGGGAUUUUGGUUUCACAACUCAUUUUUCGGUUUUGUUUGUUUUCAGGUUUGUUUGCAUCGUUUUCUGCUACCUUGUACCUUCUUUUUUGAUUUGAAACAUGCAAAAACAAAACAAAACAAAAGUGAAAGAAGCUUUCUUUGGUCAAUUUACUUAACAGGGAAAACAAAGUCUUUCUUUUCUUAAUCUAUGGUAACGAAAGUAUGCUUUUGGACAAACCCCUUUUAAUUACUCCCGUUGUUUGAAGUUUAAGCCAGUGCUUUGUGGUUGGUUAAUGAUUGAAGCUGCACUGUUAUGUUACAGAUAUAUGUACGCUAAAUAGUGAUAUAAUGAGUCUCUGAUUGCUUUUGCUUGUGAUGUGGUGCUUUUGCUUUAUAACAACGUAAUCUUUUCCUUUGAUCAGACGUGUCUUCUAUUUUGUUAACCUUUCUCUUCAAUAAUUUUUUCUUCCUUUUGGAUUAUUUUAAUUAAAUUUAGAUUCUGUAUUGUGAUGAGCUUUUGUUUUAGAAACAUGAUCAUCUUCAAUCUUGUAGCAGAGGUAGCAAUAUAUAUUUUGCUCGGCAUCACUACUGGUUUCUUGAGCCCAAGCCUCAAAGGAGAUGUGUAGCUGACUCAGUUGUAAAGGACCAGAAACAAGCACAUCUGAAUUUGAGUUAAAAAAUUUACAAUGUAUUCAGACCAAGCGUUUUCUUCAGGGCCCUAUGCAGAUAUAUUAUCUGGGAAUCCUCUUUUACCUCAUAACUACAGUGAAACUGUUGGAGAACACAAUGAGUUGAAGUUCAUCUCAUCCAUGAGGAACACAAUGACUGUGCAACCUAUUGAUGAGCAUUCAAAUGCGGCCCCCACAGCUGAUCAAAACUCUUUUACCAAUGCUGGAGAUUCCCAUGCCCAUCUUGUUCCUAGAACAACACAAUUGGGACUUGUGAACAGUGAGCAAAAUGUACAGAACCAAGGCUUGUCUCUUAGCCUUGGCUCAGUGAUGCCUUCUAUUGCAUCAGUCCCUACCUUUCCAUAUCAGUAUCCUGGUGCCGGUUUCUCUUCACUAAUGAAUGCUUCUGUCCAAAAUUUAAGGGGCACUUCAUCUCUUAAAGAUGAUGAAGCCAGCCUACAAAGGGAAUUGAGAAAUGCUGAGUGCAUGGCAUCUUUAGCUUCUUG